This is a small nuclear RNA of Ziziphus jujuba (common jujube), 196 nucleotides long. RefSeq annotates it as U2 spliceosomal RNA. The transcript has a single exon. Lineage: Eukaryota; Viridiplantae; Streptophyta; Magnoliopsida; Rosales; Rhamnaceae. The record is from RefSeq and is a predicted model, not a curated record.
AUACCUUUCUCGGCCUUUUGGCUAAGAUCAAGUGUAGUAUCUGUUCUUAUCAGUUUAAUAUCUGAUACGCGGGUCAAUGAUCCGCACGAUAUUAAAUUAAUUUUUUUAGGGGAAGAGUCCGUUACGGUAGCUUGCUACUGGGAUUCUUGAGUGUCGCCUUUGCUUUGCACUAUCGCAAAGGCCUGGCACACCCCUC